GUCUGUGCCGCUGUGCUGUGCUGUUCUGUGCUGUGCUGUAUAGUGUAUAUAGCUCUGUGUAUCUCUAUCUGUGUGUUUUGUGUUGUAGUAUUUUUUCGAAGGCAUUUUGCAGAACUGUUUAACAUCACAGUCAGUCUUUAGUGGUACUUCGCGCUUCUUGCUGGUGCACGUACCUACGUUCGCUAUAAUAUUACUAGCAAUACAAUACAAACAUCAAAAGUCUGUAGACAAAAAAAAAAACGCAACGUACGUUCGUGUUUAAAUAGUAACCGAAUAAAUAAGCAACCGUUUAAUCAAUCGAUUUGUAAAAAGUAAAGUAAAAAAAUAUAUAAUAAACACAAUACAAUUGUUUAAUGAAAAAAAAAUAUGUAAAAGACCGUCGCUUUUUAACAUUUUUGUGGUGUUAACGGACAAAUAAGUUAAAUUUGAAAAAAAAAGAAAAAAAUCAAAAUUAAAACUUACACACAGCAAUGUAAAUCUCAAAAAAAAAAUUUUUGGGUGUUACAUUUAAACAACUACAACGACAACAAUAACAAACAACUAAUACAAUGUUAUUUUAAUAGUAUAUACAUGUAAUAGUUAUAAUACACAUGUUUGUAUGUAUGUUUGUAUAAAAACCCUCAAACGCACCCAAUACAAACAAUUCAUACAAUAAAGGUGUGGUUUAGCAAGACAAACAAAUAUAUAAGUUUUUAAAGCAAAAAGAAAAAAAUCUAUAAUAAAUAUAAUAAA
Lucilia cuprina (Australian sheep blowfly) is the source of this 732-nucleotide long non-coding RNA. RefSeq lists it as uncharacterized. NCBI's taxonomy places the organism in Eukaryota, Metazoa, Arthropoda, Insecta, Diptera, Calliphoridae. The transcript is spliced from 2 exons. The record is from RefSeq and is a predicted model, not a curated record.